Molecule: unclassified non-coding RNA, 8535 nt
Filed under: Diabrotica virgifera virgifera (western corn rootworm)
Lineage: Eukaryota; Metazoa; Arthropoda; Insecta; Coleoptera; Chrysomelidae
Description: nHL repeat-containing protein 2
Source: RNAcentral
AUUCAAUGUCAAUUUCUGCUUUUUAGGUUAUUUAUGUAUAUUUUGAACACUUUCUAGAAAUAAAUAUUUCAUAAUCAUAACACACUUUUCGCAUUCCAUUUGUUAAGGAGGUGUUAGACGAAUGUAUUAAUGAACAUAUUUCGGACACUUUUUAAUAGUUUAAGUAGUAAAACAGUAGCAUACACAACGAGAAGAAUGAGUGUGAAUUCUUUGUAUUAUUCCCAUGAACAGCUUACAAAUUUUAUUGAACUUGCAAAAAAUGAAGAUGAAGGUGUACUUGAGUAUUUAAAACAUGUUCAACGUGUUCCUAUACAAGACUUUACUCCAGGAUUGGAAUGGUUCAAUACAUCAGAGCCUCUUUCUAUGAAGAAACACCUCCAAGGAAAAAUUGUUAUUUUAGAUUUUUUUACGUAUUGCUGUAUAAAUUGUAUGCAUAUUCUUCCUGAUUUGAGAGAACUUGAAAACAAAUUUUCAAUAGAAGAUGGUUUAGUUGUGGUCGGUGUCCAUAGUGCCAAAUUCGAGAAUGAAAAAAUAUCUUCCAACAUAUUAGCGGCAGUCCAACGAUACAACAUAUCUCACCCCGUGGUUAAUGACUCUAACUCAGAUAUGUGGAAAAACUGUGGUAUACAUUGUUGGCCUACCUUACUUGUCGUAGGCCCUACUGGAAACCCUAUAGUGAUGCUGACCGGAGAGGGACAUAAGGACAAUCUUAUACUCUAUAUUAAGAACGCGUUGAAGUUUUAUAAGGAAAAAAACUUGAUCUCCAAUCACAAACUACCAAUUAAGUCUGCCUACCACUUAUUACCUGAUCUGAAAGGACCAUUGUUAUUUCCAGGGAAAAUUACUAACAUCCUAGAUGAAAACAACCAUGAAAUUUUGGCUGUUUCGGACACAGGCAAUAAUCGAAUAUUAAUUUUAAAGGAAGACGGUACCAUUAUUCAACAAAUAGGUGGAAAUAAAUUAGGGUUUAAAGAUGGUAGUCUAGAAGAUGCUGAAUUUAAUAAUCCGCAAGGAUUGACCUUCCAAAAUAGAGAUAUACUGUUUGUUGCGGAUACUGAAAACCAUGCAAUUAGGAAAGUAGAUUUGAAAAACAAAAAAGUUGAAACUGUUGCAGGUAUCGGUAAACAAGGUGACGACAUGGUUGGAGGUAACAAGGGACUAGAACAAGCCAUAUCAUCUCCAUGGGAUGUAUCUAUCUAUAGAAAACAGGAUGUAGAUCCUGUUGGUAAUCCGAUCAUUCGAGAAGUACUUAUUAUCGCAAUGGCUGGAACCCACCAAAUUUGGGCUUUGUUUUUGGAAGAUACAGUAUGGUGGAAGUCAAAAAAAUAUACAUCCGGUACUUGCGUUAAUAUUGUCGGUUCCGGUAGAGAAGAAAAUAGAAACAACAGUUAUCCUCAUAACGCGGCUUUCGCGCAACCAUCUGGAUUAGCCUUAUGCCAAAAUAAUAAAGAAAUUUAUAUUGCUGAUAGUGAAAGCUCUAGCAUUAGAAGGAUAUCUCUAGUCGAUGGAAAAGUCACUCCUGUUGUUGGAGGAGAGAGAGACCCAAGCAAUUUGUUUGCAUUUGGUGAUAAAGAUGGUACUCUAUUUGAUGCCAAACUUCAACACGCGUUAGGAGUAGGAAUAACCAGUGAUGAGAAAACCCUGUUCGUAACUGACACCUACAAUCACAAAGUGAAGAAAGUCAACGUUGCCGAUAAUUCCGUGUCUUCUAUUACUUUACCAACUGCAGACGCCACAGAUGGUACUAGUAGCACAUUUAAAGAACCUGCUGGAGUGUGCAUUAGUUCCGAUAAUAAUAAGCUGUAUGUGGCAGACACCAACAAUCAUCAGAUCAAAGUCCUGCAUUUAAAUAACCAGCAAAAUGUUACCAAAGUGGAAAAAUUAGAAUUGAAAAAGAUAGAGAAUAAUAAGGCUGAAGUUGACAAAUCUAGCUACGAGAUUUUGUCAAGAAAACCUAUAUCAAUUAAUUCAAAUGGUGGAAAAAUUAUUCUUACAGUAAAUUUUAAGUUUGAUAAGGGAUUAGGGCUUACCGAAGGUGCUCCGCAGACAUGGUUGGUGGAUUUGCCAGACAUAACGUGGUCCUCUAUACCCAAGAAUGGAUCAAACCUUGAGUUGGUAGAAACUACAAUUAGUGUACCUACUAAUGGUAUCAAGCAAAACCAAAACAUAGACUUUUUAUUUAAUCUUGUUACUUGUACAGACGACACGUGUCUUCCUAAAAGCUUUAUUGUGAGAGUACCGAUUGUAUAUCAAAACAGCGAGAGCAAAGUUACUGAAAAUAUUUCCGUUCUUAUUAAGCCCGAAAAUAUUCUUCUACUAUAGAACAAUAUAGAAUUCUAUAUCUUUUUGGGUAUAGAAUUUAACAAUGUUUGCUUUGGAUUUGUCGCUAGGUAAACAUCCCAUCCCAGUUCUCUUACUAAUAGCCCGAUCAAAGAACAAUCUGACCCCAAAAAAAUAGAGGAAGGAUGAAAAUUUGGGAAUAGGUAGGUGAAAUUGUAUAUUAUUAUAUAAAAGUUUACAAUUCUACAUCCCCUCCAUUUUACAAAAAUGUAGGGGAAUUACCCCCCUCUCGAAGGUGAAAAAUAUACAUUCAAAAUAAGUCCGGAAUUGGAUAAAAUGACUAAUUCUAAGCAACUUUUGUUCUAUGGAGUUUUUUCCCUAAGUCAAUACUUUUCGAGUUAUUUGGAAGUGAAGAUGUUCAUUUUUAACAGAAAAAACAUGUUUUUGGGCGGUUUUUCGGAGGUAACUCAAAAAGUAAGUAUUUCAAUGUGAAAUAACCCAAAAACGGAGCACUUUUCGGGGAAAAUUCAUGUCAACUUUUUUAAUGUGUUUAAAAAAGGGUUUAUUUUUGUUUUUUAAAAAAACUUGUAACAUUAAAAGUAAGUGGGUUACGCUCAAAAUAUUGUUGGUCCCUUUUAUUUUUUGGUAAAAGAAAUCGCCAAAAUCACCCCCCUAAUUAGUAUCACAAAUAAAUUUUAUCAUUACCACUUCACAAGUUACUUUGCUUAUGUGUUAUUUAUAUGAUCUGUAAGUUUCAUCGGUUCAAAGUGCUUAUUUUUGAAAAAGCUGUAGUUAAAAUGGCUUGAACGAGUAACUAAUCACGAGUUUAGGCCAAAUUUAAACAGCCAUAGCAUAACCAAUUUUUGUCUAACAAGAAAACAAAAAAGCAAAAGUAUUCAGAAAAGCAAAACGUACAUUUUAUUACUCUUUAAGAUUUUUGUUAUUACUAAUAAUUUUUAAGUUAAUUCCAUGAACAAUUCCAUUUUUUUUUUCAAAAUUAAAAAAAUGUUUUAUUUUAAACCCAAUUUUUUUCAAAAAUGAAACUUAUAGAUAAUAUAAACAAUACAUAAAUAAAGUAAAUUGUGAAGCGGUAACGAUAAAUUUUAUUUGGGAAGCUAAUUAGGGGGUGAUUUUCGAGAUUUUUGGGGGACCAAAAAAUAAAAGGGACCACAAUAUUUUGAGCGUAAUUCACUUAUUUUUAAUGUCAGAAGUUUUUUAAAAAAAACAGAAAUAAACCUUUUUUAAACACUUUAAAAAAGUUUUAAUGAAUUUUCCCUGAAAAGUGCUCUGUUUUUUGUUUAUUUCACAUUGAAAUAUUCGAGUUGGAAUUUGACGAAGAAGAACCUACUUUUCAUUAGCUACAACUCUGCUUCUACUGGGUCUGCAGACCUCAUGCGUACACCAUUUUUUUUUUAAUUGUUUAUAAGCUAUAUUUUUACUAAGAAUAUUAUUUUCGCUGAAAUACUUAAUUUUUGAGUUACGUCCGAAAAACCGUCCAAAAACAUGUUUUUUUUUUUGUUAAAAAUGAACAUAUUCACUCGCAAAUAACUCGAAAAGUAUUGACUUAGUGAAAAAACUCUAUAGAACAAAAGUUGCUUAGAAUUAGUCAUUUUAUCCAAUUCUGGGCCUAUUUUGAACGUAUAUUUUUUCACUCCCGAGAAAAUAUUUUUCACCCCGUAUUUCCCAAUUUUUGUAAAAUGGAGGGGAUGUAGAAUUGUAAACUUUUUCUUAUAUAAUAAUAGACAAUUUCAACUACCUAUUCCCAAAUUUUCAUCCUUCUUUUAUUUUUUUGGAGGUUUUCGUAAAAUUUUGUGUUCCCUGAUUGGGCUAUAACUAAAGUUUAAUAAACAACUGUAAAACAUGAUAUUUUAGAUUUCAAACGGUAAUAUGUUAAAACUUCAUCGAAUCCCACUUACGUAGUACAGAUUCAACAAGAAAAUAUUUGUGUCCAAUGUAAAUGAGUGUCUGGACAGCUCCACAUACUGUCUUGGCUUUUCUAUUGUCUCGUUGCAAAAACGUUAUGACAUGUUCAGGUUGUCUAAAUUCGUCUAUACCUAGUUUUGCUAUUUUCUUUUUCACCACUUUUUCUAUAAUGUUAAGCCUAGAAAAAAUAAUUAAUAGGAGGGUACUACAGGCGAAUGGCACUAAGUUUGUAUGGCGAGAUUAUUCGGGGUUUGUACCAUAAUCGUGAACUAAAUUACUAAGGAAGUGAACUUAGAACACAUAUACUAUGUGACUACUCAAAGGCACCGUUGCUCGGUCCUGGUAGAUUAUGGACGGUGUCGUUGAUAGAGGUGAGAAAUACAAGAAGCAAGAUGGAUACAAAACAACAACAGGAAAGAGAACAACUCGACAAAAUAUUUGAAUCCCAAAAAAAGAUAAAUGGGAUAUUCAUAAAACAAAGAGAAACAAUCCACAAAGAAGAAUUUCCUGUAGCUGGCUGUAUACCUUUAAUGAACUUAGAACACAUAUACUAUGUGACUCAAAGGCACUGUUGCUUGGUCCUGGUAGAUUAUGGACGGUGUCGUUGAUAGAGGUGAGAAAUACAAGAGGAAAGAUGGAUACAAAACAACAAAAAGGAACAGGAAAGAGAACAACUCAACAAAAUAUUUGAAUCCCACAAAAAGAUAAAUGGGAUAUUCAUAAAACAAAGAGAAACAAUCCACAAAGAAGAAUUUCCUGUAGCUGGCUGUAUACCAUUAAUGAACUUAGAACACAUAUACUAUGUGACUCAAAGGCACUGUUGCUUGGUCCUGGUAGAUUAUGGACGGUGUCGUUGAUAGAGGUGAGAAAUACAAGAAGAAAGAUGGAUACAAAACAACAAAAAAAGAACAGGAAAGAGAACAACGUUAUAGUCGGAAUACAACUGAAACCGGUUAUACCAGUUCUUAGAAACCAACAAAAAAAAGGUACAAAGUAAUUAAACGUACUAGACUACUGUCAGAAGAAGAACAAAGUAAAUAUGAAAGACUAGUCACUAGAAAACUGGAAAAUAUUACAGAAAAUGUAAACAUCGAACAAAAAUGGACCCAAAUUAAAGUAUCAAAGCAGCGCAAGCCAGUAAUAGAAAUAUAAAAGAUGGAUAUAAAAUACAAAGAAUGGUUUGAUCAGUGGCGGCUGGUCCUGUGAGGCAGUGUCUCACCAGUAUAUCAAUCCACUAUUUACGGUAUUUCUUUAUCCCAUCUUCAAUUCAUUAAAUACAAUUUAACUUUUUGAAAUUUGUUAAAUACCUUUAUUUUUAUUAUAAAAAAUAAAAAUAGGUGCGGCCCUGAUCUCUGUAGUCCACGUGCGAGCAUCUCAUUUUAACUUUCUCAAAUAAUGGUUACAGGAGAGGCAUGCCUGGGCCAGCCUCUCAUCGGGUCUAUAUCUAGCUUACGGUUUCGUAAAAGGGAAGCAGCAACAAAAUUCAACCUCUGAGAACAAUUUCGAACGCUGAUUCAAAUAUGCAUGCCUCAGUAGUGUAAAAUACGAUAUAUGUAAGCGUAUAGGGUCGAACUGCACCGAUCUGUUUAAUGGACAAAAAUUAAUUGGAUAUGUAAUUUAGUAUGUUAACAAUUAUUACAAAAAGCAAAAAAGCAAGAGGUGUCCGAUCUAAUUUUCUUCUGACUAUAAUUAAUAAUAAUUAUUUAAUUAUUAAAAAAUUACUUUUUCUAUAAAUUAAAAAACAUUUCGGCCCAGGCAGAUAUUAUUUUAGAUUUUUUGGAUCAUUCUAAACAAAAACUUCGUCUUUUGUAAUUUUUCUCUUAAGUUGAUCGUUUUCGAGUUAAUAAUUUAAAACCGAAAAAAGAUCGAAAAAUGACGAUUUUCAACGCUCGAAAACAAGAAAAAAUAUCAUUUUUGAAAAUACAAAGUACCUAAAUUCAAGUUCAAACAUUAGUCUAUUACUUUGUAUAUACACCUAAAAAAGUUGUCAAAUUAUAUACACAUGAAAAAGUUUGCAACAGAUUAACUGUGUGUUGAAAAUAAAAGAAACAAGCAAUCAAAUGAGAAAAUUUAGUAAAAUACGUACAAAGAACACAAUAUUUAUUGUUUGGGUAAUCUACUUCGAUUUAUACAUGUUUAACAUGUUAAAUAUCAUCAAAUAUUCUCUCUAUAGCCUUUCCUCCUUAUGAAGAUUGGGUACUAUUGCGUUUCUUAGCCAAAAGUGAAAGGUGGUUGAUUGGUUGGAUCCGUGCAAACAUCAAAUAUUAAUUAAUAUUUGAUGAUAAUCUAAGCAUUAAUCUUCUUCAGCUCACUAUUGCCCGAGUUAUUCACGUGAUCGAUCAUAGGUUUAGAAAUAUUUAUAAGGCUACUUUUGUUAAACCAACUAUGCUAAAAUUUUUCAAUUUGGAAGAGUGAUAUCAUCGUUUAAAUGAGGCAUAUCCUCAAAUUUAAAUGUGCAGGGCGGUCCUCGGAAACUACCUGUUUAAUUUGCGUUUUCUCAUAAAUCACAGAAUGUAUAAUUACUAAAUUUAUUUGUGUUUCUCUAUAGCAGAAUAAUUGGUCUGCUAUGGUCAUAAAAAACUUUAAUUUUGUCGACCCAGGGAUUAUUACCGUCAUAAAAAUAUCAAAAAACAUGUUUUUCAAGAGCUGAGAUCCUGAUUUAUCAAGCUGAGAUCCUUGCUGUGCUGCAGUGAUCUCAGUUUGGUAACAAAGAUGCGGAUAGUGAGGUGCUACGUUCUUCCAGUGCUACUGUAUGGAAUUGAAGCCUGGACACUGACGCAAGCCACUGAAAAGCGGAUUGAAGCCUUCGAGAUGUGGAUCUACUGGAGGAUACUAAAAAUAUCUUAUGUGGACCAUGUCACCAACAUUAAGGUCCUACAGCGCAUGACAAAAGAAAAAGAAGUGUUAAUUUAGUAAAACAACGUAAGCUUGAGUACCUUGGCCACGUGAUGUGGAACGAAGAAAAAUAUCGAGUUCUUCAACUCGUCAUGCAGGGCAAUGUAUUUGGCAGGAGAGGACCGGGACGCCGUCGUAUCUCGUGGUUGAAAAACCUCCGACAAUGGUUUGGGAUAACCUCCGCGGAGCUGUUUCGCAGAGCAGUCAACAAAAAAAUGAUAGCCUUGAUGAUCGCCAACAUCCGGACGGGAUAAGGCACUGAAGAAGACUCAAUUCAGUACAAGGAUCAGAUACAUCAGUAUUUUGCAAUCAUUAUUUAUACUCAGUACCACUGAGAACCGCUAUCAAAAGUAACCGUUACAUGUCCGCACUGAUUUUGCUCGUCUCUAUUCGCUACGUCGAUAUCCAACGGUUGGGUUGGGUUGUGUUCAAUAUGCGAUGCGCUAGAAAAAUAAAUGCACGGGUCACUCGACACGCCGGCGCAGGUUGUGUCUCGCUUAGGUUCAAUUUGCGCCGGGCCUUAAUGGCGGCACCGCACUUCGCUAUGUGGUAUUUCUUAUGCGUCUUAUUCGGCCGCAUAGGACGAAGUGUGGAGGGUUCAUUCGUCAAUAUUCGCUUAAUGCGCACGCAUAGUAGCAAAUACGCAUCAAUCCACUUGUCGGUUUCUACGCACUUCAAAGAACAAAUAUUUGGGCGCAUACAGCGUAGCCGCAUAACAAUUAGCACAUACCAAAGUGUGGUGUCGGCAUUACACACAGUAUGCCAGAAAAAGGAGAGCCAGUAAAGUACCUUAAAUGAAUCGUAUAAGUAUUGUGUUAAAAAUAAUUAAUUUACUUCUUUACAAUAAGUCUUUAAAAAACACACAUCUAGCGACCAAUCCCGGGUUAAACUUAUUUUAAAUAAUGACGUUUGUACAGGUUGCCCUUGUUUUUAUAUUUUGAUAAAUUUACAAUAAGCCUAUACAAGUUUUUUAUCAAGUUUAUUAAAAGAAAAACUAAUUUUAAUGUCUGAUGGCAACAAAGUUCUUUUAAAAAUAAAAAUUUAAAAUAAUUUCUGAAAAUUAAAAAAGAACAUGUAAAUAAGUAAAACAUGAUUGUACUCCUUUCAUUUUAAGCUUAUUAAAAUAAUAAUUCAGUUAAAUAUAUUCCAUUAAACUGUAAUAAAUAAUUUAAUUCUUAAAAACAAAAAAACAAAAGAUGUAGAUCUUUGAAACAGACUCAGUGAUCAAAAGAUCCAAAGUUACUCUCAUACGAAAUCAAACAAAUGAAAUAGAGAAUGUGGAAAAAUCCCCUUACGAAUAAUUAAAUUAAUUAAUUAACUUAAUUCUUAUAAAAAUAAAAAAGAUAGUAAAGUUUGUUAGUCAUUCGAUAUUAUAUAUUUACAAUGUAUUUUUAUUUUUUUUUACAAUUAAACUGUUUUUUACGAUGUAAAAAUUGA